ACCUGGGUAGCUCAGUUGGUUGAGCGUCUGACUUCAGCUCAGGUCAUGAUCUCGCAGUUUGUGGGUUCGAGGCCCGCGUCGGGCU
Felis catus (domestic cat) is the source of this 85-nucleotide transfer RNA. It matches the Rfam family "tRNA". From Rfam's summary of the family: Transfer RNA (tRNA) molecules are approximately 80 nucleotides in length. Their secondary structure includes four short double-helical elements and three loops (D, anti-codon, and T loops). The record is from Rfam. NCBI's taxonomy places the organism in Eukaryota, Metazoa, Chordata, Mammalia, Carnivora, Felidae.